Molecule: long non-coding RNA, 1092 nt
Filed under: Aquilegia coerulea
Lineage: Eukaryota; Viridiplantae; Streptophyta; Magnoliopsida; Ranunculales; Ranunculaceae
Description: long non-coding RNA (ACOE_LNC001934)
Source: RNAcentral
UAGCCUUUAUUUGUUAUUUUUUUUAUUUAUUCUUAGAUUAGAUGUUUAUAUGUCACCGAAUUUCCGCGAGGGAAGAACCCAUCAUUUUAUCUAUUGUGGGGAUGCAUUGGAAAUACACGAGGAGGAGGAUUAACCUCAACGCCUGUGUAAGUCGUUGUGUCUCUUAAAUAAUGAUGAAAAAAUAAACUUAUUUAUCUUAGAAUAUUAGAUUGUAAGAUGCCACUUAAUUUCGGUAUGGGAAGAAUCCAUCAUUUUAUCUAUUGUGGGGAUGCAUUGAAAAUACACGAGGAGGAGGAGAAGGAUUAACCUCAACUCCCUGUGUAAGUCGCUGUGUCUCUUAAAUAAUGAUGAAAAAAAAACUUAUUUAUCUUAGAAUAUUAGAUUGUAAGAUGCCACUUAAUUUCGGUUAAGGGAAGAAUCCAUCAUUUUAUCUAUUGUGGGGAUGCAUUGGAAAUACACGAGGAGGAGGAGGAUUAACCUCAACUCCCUGUGUAAGUCAUUGCGUCUCUUAAAUAUUGAUCGUAUUAAUGAUGAAAAAAAAACUUGUCCAUCUUAGAAUAUUAGAUUGUAAGAUGCCACUGAAUUUCGGUAAGGGAAGAAUCCAUCAUUUUAUCUUUUGUGAGGAUGCAUUGGAAAUAUUCGAGGAGAAGGAUUAAAAUCAGUGUCUUCCUACAAAAUGUAAUGGUAUGAACAAGAGCUUAUUGGUCUGACUGCAAAAUGUAAAGGUGACCCUUAGAGUUAACUCCACUUUGCAAAAUUGCAGUUAUUCUUGCCAAGAGACACAAAUAAAAGCUUAUCUUAAAACUUUCUAUAGUUCUAUGGUCAUCACUCUUCAAUCGUAGCAAGUGUGAUUAGAUAUGGGUAAAAGGAUCUUGAACACAUGGGGGACAUUACAUUCCUCACUUUCUUCUACCGUUAUUUUUAUAUAUGCUUGGCUUAUUCUUAACGAGAUAUUUGGUGCUGCAUGGAUUCUUAACCAUUUUCACAGCUCCGGGGGACGCAAAUUGGAACACGCUUUGAAGCAUGGAUUGAAAAAUGGCCUCAGUGUUGUCACCUUGGGGUGGUUUGUGGAUAGUGUUAGAAAGAAUGGUG